UCAAGAAACUUCCACAAUGGGCGAAAGCCUGAUGGAGCGACGUCGCGUGAUGGACGAAGUGCUUCGGCACGUAAACAUCUUUUAUGUGGGAUGAAAUUAUUGACAGCACCACAUGAAUAAGGGGCUCCUAACUCUGUGCCAGCAGGAGCGGUAAUACAGAGGCCCCAAGCGUUAUCCGGAAUCACUGGGCGUAAAGGGUGUCGAGGCGGUUGUAUUAGUCGUUCGUAAAAUCUACGAGCUUAACUUGUAGGCGGCGAACGAAACGGUACGACUUGAGGUUUGGAGAGGUGCGUGGAACUCACGGUGUAGGGGUGAAAUCCGUUGAUAUCGUGGGGAACACCAAAGGCGAAGGCAGCGCACUGGCCAAAAUCUGACGCUCACACACGAAAGCUAGGGUAGCGAAGAGGAUUAGAUACCCUAGUAGUCCCUGAGCGGGCUGGCAAGGCGCAU
Molecule: ribosomal RNA, 450 nt
Filed under: uncultured bacterium
Lineage: Bacteria
Description: bacterial SSU rRNA
Rfam family: Bacterial small subunit ribosomal RNA
Source: RNAcentral